This 71-nucleotide transfer RNA is filed under the name Allobates magnussoni. RNAcentral's name for it is "tRNA-Ser". It matches the Rfam family "tRNA". From Rfam's summary of the family: Transfer RNA (tRNA) molecules are approximately 80 nucleotides in length. Their secondary structure includes four short double-helical elements and three loops (D, anti-codon, and T loops). Further hydrogen bonds mediate the characteristic L-shaped molecular structure. tRNAs have two regions of fundamental functional importance: the anti-codon, which is responsible for specific mRNA codon recognition, and the 3' end, to which the tRNAs corresponding amino acid is attached (by aminoacyl-tRNA synthetases). tRNAs cope with the degeneracy of the genetic code in two manners: having more than one tRNA (with a specific anti-codon) for a particular amino acid; and 'wobble' base-pairing, i.e. permitting non-standard base-pairing at the 3rd anti-codon position. Lineage: Eukaryota; Metazoa; Chordata; Amphibia; Anura; Aromobatidae. The record is from RNAcentral.
AAGAAAAUGACAGAGUGGGGAUGUGCCUGGCUUGAAACCAGAUAACGGGGGUUCAAUUCCCUCUUUUCUUG